Molecule: long non-coding RNA, 797 nt
Organism: Rhinolophus ferrumequinum (greater horseshoe bat)
Lineage: Eukaryota; Metazoa; Chordata; Mammalia; Chiroptera; Rhinolophidae
Exons: 3
Source: RefSeq, a predicted model, not a curated record
GCCCACCUGUUAGCUGCAGGAGAGGAGGACACCUCACCAGGAAGAUGCUGACUGUCCUCCAGUCCUGCCCCUGCAGCCACACACCUCAGUCUGCCCCUUCUCCUGUAUAUCUCCAAGUUCCCCUGAGUCACCGAGUCACUGUCCUCCGUUGGAGCCCAAGGCACUUCAGGAUGGUUAAUACCUGACAGGCAUUAACUGUUUAUGGAAUGAAUGGAUACAAGACAAUGGAUACUGGUUUAUAAAAACUGGAUGGGACAUUGGACAUCUAUCUACUGGCACAAUCCUCUCAUUUUUCAGUGCAGGCAAGAAGAGACAGGUCACCAGCUUGGCACUCCACCCAAGAGAGUCCUUUGCAAGUUGAAAAUGACUGAAAACAAAAGUUACCCAUAGAAGGAAGAAACCCUGAGCAGAUGAACAGCAAAUAAAAAUGAAACUGGUGAUUCUAUCUCUGGAGAUCUUUGAAUAACAGGCAAUGCCACCACUGGGAUAAGCCCCUGCCUUCAAUCUAGGUGCUCAGUGGUCAUUGGUCCACGAACCAAGCAGGGGCACUCCCAGGAAAUUUACAUGCCGGCACUGGCACCUUGAACAUCUCGGGACUUCCAUGAAUCGAGCUCUUAUUUCUGAGAGGAACCAGAAUUUGGUUAGCAGUUCUAGGUGCCUUUGAAGAGUGUUUGAAAUUAAAAUAUAUGGCUACUAAAACAAAAGGAAAUUCAGUUAGUCUAAGUGGAAAUGGGACCUUAGGACCACCUUAAAUAUACAGAGGGUGCCAAAAAAAACGUGUACACAUUUUAAGAAAG